RNAcentral lists this long non-coding RNA (724 nucleotides) under Hordeum vulgare. Its description in RNAcentral is "long non-coding RNA (HVUL_LNC019612)". Lineage: Eukaryota; Viridiplantae; Streptophyta; Magnoliopsida; Poales; Poaceae. The record is from RNAcentral.
ACGGGAACACUCAUUUAGUCAUCACGUUCAAGUAAAUAUAUUGACGAAACAAUUUACAAUCUCAGUUCAACAUUUGCUCCUAAAUAUGAAACUUGUAUACGGUGCUAAAUCUGAAGCAUUUGCUCUGCUCAAUCUGAUACUUGACAAGCUCAGUAUGUUGUAACGUGCCCAAUCUGAAACUUGGCAAUGCUCUGCUCAAUUUGAGCAUCGCGUAGUGCGACUUCUGGCCUUGUGUACAUGUUGGUCGCCCUUCAUCCAUGGACGGCAUACCUCGUUAAGCGAGGCGGCUCUUGCUUGGCGCUUUCCGUGGCGAUGCGAGCUCAACAGUGUGUAUCUGCACACAAACAUAGACAACAUGAAAAGCAACCUUUUGUACAACUACGGAGGCACAUCAUAAUGAGCAAAGAAAGGGAAUGGAUACAACAACCAUGGAGGGGAAAGGGGGAGGUACCUCGCCACCACUGUGUGGCCGACCUGAUGUGUGUCACUUCUGAUCUGGUGACUAUAUGACAAUUAGCAAAGCAAAGCACGGAGGACAGGGUGAGGGCAGCGGCCUGGGGCCUGUACACUGUCACGCUCUGCGGCUCCGCAGCGGUACAGAGGCUACUACGAUGGAGGUAGCUUCUGCCCAUGGCGACGAGCGACAACGACGGUACGGGACGUAGGAAAUGAGUGACCGUGCAGGAUGCAGAUGAGGAAAUGGACACGUGAAAUUCCAUCUCUA